UAGAUGAUAGACUCCAUUUAAUUAUACCACACUGAUUGAUUUAUAAACUGAGACAAAAGUGGUUUGAAGUCCGGAAAGCAUGGCCAAAAGCGAAAAGAAAUAUUGACAGAAGUAAAAACUAAACUAUUUCAGUUUAUUUGUCAUGGUAAUUACAUGUUUUGCGGUUCCACUUGCUCUAGUUUUACAUGGAAAAUCGGAGGCAAGACAUCUAAAGAAGAUCUCAGGAUUCUCAAAUUAGGAGGCCGCGACAAUGUGCUAGAAAAUGACUGGAUGAAGAAGUUUAAUCAUGAGAAAAAGCGUGUGAUCGUUGGCAAGAAGAGUAACAAGGUGGUGUUGCAGGCUAUUCUUGAAGGUGGGCAACUCAAUAUUUUAGUGGAAGCACAAUGGGUAAGCUGUUAAGAAAGAGUCAAACUAUCAUAGCUCAUCUAUUCAAGAUUGAAGUUGGGGAUAAUUAGGGGCUGUGUAAAUUACAGGGAGUUGAAUGAGAUUACUAUCAAAGACAAAUACCCUAUUCCCAUUGUGGAUAUUUGCUAGAUGAGUUACUAGGUUUAGUGAUCUUUUCCAAGGUAGACUUAAGGGCUGGAUACCACCAAAGCAGAAUGAAGAUUGAGGAUGUGCAUAAGACUGCUUUCAGAACCCACAUGGGCCGCUACAAGUUCGAGGUUAGCCUGCACCUGCCACCUUCCAGACAUUGGUGAAUGAAGUAUCCCAAUCACUACUAAGAAAAUUUGUUUUGGUACAUUUUGAUGACAUACUUGCGUAUAGUAAGCCCCUGGAGGAACAUAUAGACCACUUGAGAAGAGUGUUUGACAUUUUGAUGGAGUAGGCUCUUUUUGCCAAACAGUCAAAGUGCUCAAUUGGCCGGCAAGGGUAGAGUAUCUGGGGCAUGUUAUCACUGUUGAGAGGGUUUCCACGGACCCUAGCAACAAGGUGGACUGUCGUAGGCCUACCACAAUGAAAGUUCUCAAGGCUUUCUUGGUUUAACUAGUUAUUACACGAAGUAUGUGCUGGAUUAUGGUGGCAUCUGCAGACAACUGACUGAACUACUCAGGAUGGACUCGAGAUUGAUGUCAACUGUUGCAAAGUUUGUCCAAAAGAGUUGAAGAAAGUUUCAACACAGGUCGAAGAAUACACAAAAGACAUGGAUCCAUUCACGACCGUGUAACUAAAGAAGCGAGAGAGGAAGUCUCUUCUACACUUGUGGCAGCAGCCACAUCUUUACCAUGGACUAUAUGGCAGAGAAGCUAGUAACCCACCUUAUCAUAUGAGUAUGUGUUUGCACCGGAGUAUGGUUUUCAUCCGCCAACUUUGCCCAUGUCAGGGAUGAAUCACCCAACAAGUUACCUCAACAAUGAACAUUGUGUGGCUGGGAGCUGUACUAAGCUGGGUGCAUACUCUGGUCACAUUUUAUUUUCGCGUUCUAAGGAUUGUUUAUUACCGGACUACUGAAAAGUCUAAUACUUACAUGACUGCUA
Molecule: long non-coding RNA, 1475 nt
Organism: Lycium barbarum (goji berry)
Lineage: Eukaryota; Viridiplantae; Streptophyta; Magnoliopsida; Solanales; Solanaceae
Exons: 2
Source: RefSeq, a predicted model, not a curated record